GUCCCCUUUCUCUUGUCUUCCGCCGUAAAACCUAAAAAAAACUAAUGUUUGGGAAACUCAUUUCAAUAGAAAUCGAUCUAAUAUCUUGUGUUUUUAUGGCUUGUCCCCGUCUUGUCCUUUCACAAGAUAGAAGUGUUGUUUAUUCUGCUUCAAGAACUCCGGUAGCUUUUUCACUGACUGUUAAGCUGUCUCUUUAAUUGAAUUUGUAAGUCUGAUGCACGCCGUUUCCGACUUUUUAGAGUAUAAAUACAAAUUAUAGAAACGCAGGAUUGAAUGAAAAACGGCACAUUUUUGUGACACUUUUAGUCAAUUUAUUUUAAAAA
Molecule: long non-coding RNA, 323 nt
Filed under: Mytilus galloprovincialis (Mediterranean mussel)
Lineage: Eukaryota; Metazoa; Mollusca; Bivalvia; Mytilida; Mytilidae
Source: RNAcentral